CGAAUAAGAGGCAAUGCUAUCGACAUUUUCUUCCAAGAAACUCAUGUCAUUGUUAAUGGGGAAAUCCAACAGAAGUUGCAGUGUUGAGUCUGAAGAAUCUUCUAACGCAACAGAGCUUGACGAAUCAGACCCAGCAUUCACAUCUUCAGCUGACAGCUGAAAAUGAACCACAUUUGGUCGAUGAAGAUGCCUGAGAAGCUGAAGCAGGACUUUGGCAAGUAGUUUUGUCUCCCCGAUUGAACUUUCUAAAUGAUUCUCCAACUUCAGAGUUCCACAUCCGCAGAAAAUAAUCACUAUCAGUUUUUCCUGGAGUUGGUGGAUUGAAGAGUGAGGACUCCCUUGAAAGCCGAGCCUCAGCUUCAAGUCUAGCACUCUCCCACUGUGCCAUAUGGCGAGUAGCAGGGGAUGCAGGAGUUUUUAUGGCUGGUCCACAAGAGGGAAAGGGCUCAUGAGUUUGCGGGUCAAGUCCCAUGCAAAGAAGGCGUUUCUUCAGGUGGGUGUUCCACAAGUUCUUUACCUCAUUAUCUGUUCUGCCUGGUAGUUGAGAGGCAAUGGCAGCCCACCUGAAUAAUAUUGAAACAUCAAAAUUACAAAACACUCUUAUAUCACGUAUAAACAGUUGAAUCUCAUUUAAAUUAUCAAAAGCAAGAACAUUUGAUUGUUAAUUUAUUGCACCCAGAGGUUUGACAAACGGCAGAAACAUGAAUUAAAACAGAGCACCAAAACCAAUGCCGUUAAAAAAUCACUGUAACUGAUAAAAUUUCACUUGUGUUCUUGGAGGAAUAUUCAUUCAUUGGAUUAGAAAAGGGAUUGUGCAUUCCAAA
This is a long non-coding RNA of Hevea brasiliensis (rubber tree), 824 nucleotides long. RefSeq lists it as uncharacterized. The record is from RefSeq and is a predicted model, not a curated record. The transcript is spliced from 2 exons. Lineage: Eukaryota; Viridiplantae; Streptophyta; Magnoliopsida; Malpighiales; Euphorbiaceae.